Molecule: non-coding RNA, 95 nt
Organism: Acanthosepion pharaonis
Lineage: Eukaryota; Metazoa; Mollusca; Cephalopoda; Sepiida; Sepiidae
Source: the annotation of a GenBank genome assembly
CGUUGAAACACCGGUUCGCGUACGAUCACCGAUGUUAAGCCACGUUGAGCCUUACCAGUAAUUAGAUGGGUGAGCGCUUAGGAAUACCAGAUGCU